Molecule: non-coding RNA, 2622 nt
Organism: Paramuricea clavata
Lineage: Eukaryota; Metazoa; Cnidaria; Anthozoa; Malacalcyonacea; Plexauridae
Source: the annotation of a GenBank genome assembly
AUGUACCGAUACUGACGGUUCAUUCAUUUGUUCUUGUAAUUCUGGCUUCUCAGGAAACGGGACUUAUUGUCAAGGUUGGUUUCAGAAUACUUGCAUAUUGUUAUUUUAUAGACAUUUGGUUCAUAAGUAUUUGACCUUGGGUUAUUGUCAAGCUUUCUCAGACUCAAACACAUGUGCCUGCUGUAGGGCGAUUGCUUUUAAUACGCCCGUCAAUGAUUGGAUAUAGAAGUUCUGAACAAGUACGAGCGUGUGAAGAAUUGUAACGUGUUUAGAAAUACCUGAAUUCGCCGACGUCUAACAGAAUUCAGGAUUUUGAGAAUGUAAAACUUGCCUUUGUUUUUUCUUUUUACGAUGUUUUAUUUUUGAAUUAACACCAGUAUAGUUUCUUUUCUUUCCGUGUAAAUAUCGCUUGGAAUAUUGAUGAGAACAUUUUUCAAAAAAAGAGGUUCAUCUCGUCCUUAGUAUAUUUUUCGACCAUCUUGUUUGCGUAAUCGCAAUGCGUGCUUUACGCGAAUCAUGUCACCCGGGUGACAUGAUCAAAUCGCUAUGCGAUAUGAUUCAAGUCACCCGAUUACGUCAAAUAUGAUGACGUAUGGUGCGAUUCGAUAAUAAACUUCAUGCUCACGUGCACAAACUUAGCUUUUUGCAUGGACACGUUCAAAUUGAAGUAUAAUAUUAGAAUUUAUUAUAUACACAACGUCUGGAUAUGAGAAAAUCUGGAAUCUGAUUGGUUCUUUACCAGCAAGAUAUUAGCUCAUAGCCUGGUAGUAGGGAAAAACAAAAUGGCGGCACAAAUUAACUGAAUUUCAGAUGUUUUGCGAGCGAGAAAACGGCAAGUUGUUCGCUUUUAGGAGCCUUCAUAAGGUAAAAAAAACACGAUGAAAAGCUCCCCCAAAUUGUUUAUAGUCUAGGACGUGUAUAUAAAAUUGUAUGCAUUUCAUUUCGGACAGGUAAUCUCAACUGUUUUUGGGUAAAAUGAUCAUGGCGGUCAACAUCGCACAUGUGCCAAAACCUGAAUCCGGAGCGGAAGUCCUGAAAAUUACCUGAGUGUAUCAGUACAUUUAUGGGCGCCAAUUCUUGGGGAGAUGGGGGAACGCGUCCCCCAAUUUUUGGAGUGGGAUGGGGUCGAAUAUCUAAUUAUCCCCCCCCCCCCACUUUUUGACGUGUUUAAUGAAAUUUUGUUUCUUGGUUAUCCAAAAACCUAAUCCAUGGUAUCAUAUUCAUCAAAAAUUGUGAUUGAAAGGAAGACUUUUAAUAAGAAGAAGUACAACGUAUAACCUUUCUGUAGCCGCUCGGAACAAAUACUGACUUUGAAUAUAUUAUGUAAAAUUACAAAAAUUUAAGAAUAAUUGUGUUUUAAAUUAACUGAGUUUUCCUUAAAUUGAUGAUUAUCAUCAAAAUAAGGUGUAAAAGAUACCUGAUAAUGGAUAUAAUAAUCUGUAAGUAUGUAAAUAAGAUUAGCAAAUUAUAAUUAGCCGCGGAUGCUCCACUAGCAAGCUGCAUCCGUGAUAUAGUAAAAAUAGCUCUCUAAAUAAUUAAACGAAGGUAACACCCUAAAGAUAGAGAAUAUAAAUAUGGAAUCGGAAAAUGAAUAAAGUUAAGUCGGAUCUAGACCACGUUGUGUGUUGUGUUAGCUUGGGUCGUUACAAAAGCAAAUGGUUACUUAAAAAGAUUAUUAGCAUUAAACCAAGGGUGAGGACAUGUUAGCCUGUGAACAGACGUCUGUUAACAGGCCAGCACAUGUUGGUUUUUAGCGGAUUUCUCACAUGGUUGAAAACGGAUUUCUGAACAUGCACAUUGUAAUAUAACUUUACAGGUGCCCCCAUAAACCUGGGAAUGCCGUUUCAGCGUCUCAAGUAUUCGGCUAGCAUGCCUCCGGACUUUCCUAGUUUGGAGAACUCCCCCCCCACUUCUAGCGAUAGGUUGACGCCCUGGAAUAAAUUUACGUCAAUUUACGUAUUAUUUUAUUUUGUGUCUGUGUAGAUGUUGAUGAAUGUGCUUUUGGUACUGACAAUUGUCACGAUAAUGCUACAUGUAAUAAUAUAGAUGGUUCAUUUGAAUGUAGUUGCAAUGACGGAUAUUCAGGGAAUGGUACAAUCUGCGAAAGUAAGUGAACUAUGAAAGCGAUAUUAGGAUGGUGGAUUGACCUGUCGGGUUCGCAGGUGUAAGGAUUAGCUUCUAUUUUGAAGUCGCUACCGAAAAGAUGCUCUAGUUGCAUGCUAAACUGACGUCAAUUAGCGUUUUAUUUCGUUUUAUCUGGCCGUGAGUCUGUUCAUUGAAGUGUCCUUGCUGCAGGGUUAGCACUCUUUUUCUCGAUAGCAUGUAUAGUUUCAUUAUUUUGUUUAGAAUGACAAUUUAUUUUGUGCUUUUCAACCGAUAAUAUCUUAACAUUAACAUUCUGUUAAGAAUAUAUAGGCAACGUUCAAGUAUUAGUUGCUUUGAUCUCGCAUUAUUUUAUAAACAGUAUUGGGAUGUAGCUCAUGAGUUUAUUAAUCAAUUAAAACUUUUCAGAUAUUGAUGAAUGUGUAGACAGAUCUCAUGACUGCCAUUAUAACGCAACAUGUACCGAUAUUGACGGUUCAUUCGUUUGUUCUUGUAAUUCUGGCUUCUCAGGAAACGGGA